UAUAGAGUGAAGUUUACUCAAUUAUUUUUUACACUGAGUUGGACGAGAGUCGAUAUUUCUCACUAACUCGAUAAUCGUUGGACGCUAAUCUUUAUUGUCAUCAAAUUUUCCCCGCUCUGCUUCAACAUCGUGAUUCCUCGCCCAAUCCCAAUUCCAACGGUUCACGUAUUUCACACUCUCCUCUAAAUUUCCAGGGUUUCAAUUUUCAUCCCGCCAAUUUUAGAUUUUCAUUCCUUUUCUGUUUUAGCUCGAAUUGCAUUCAUAGGUAGGGUUUUACUUGAUUCAUGCACUUUUUUGUUCUUCAAUCGCAAAAUUCAGUACAAUUCAUUGUUUUGUGGAAUUUAGGGUUCUAGAAACGGAAUUAUUCCUUAAUCGCAAUUGAGAUUAGGGUUUUCCAUUGUAAUUUAGCAUUUCAGACAUAUUUAUGACGACAGGUGGACAUGGAGAUAACCGUGAUCAUGAAUUCAGGAACAGUGAUUCUGAUUUCAGUAUUUCAAGGCGUGGUUUUAAUAAUAAUGUGUAUCAUGAUAUUAGAAAUGGUAAGGGUCGAAGUAGGGAUACAAGGGAUAGGAUUAUUCAGAGACAGAAAGAUAUUAGGGAGAGUCAGAAAGAAGUUUUGAAUGGAAGUUACCGGUCAUCUUCGAGUAGGAGUGACUCUGGUAGCAGUGGUGGUCGUAGUGGCGUGCCUGGUUCAAGAAGAUGUGAGUUUUCUGUUAAGAUUAUGGAUAGAGAGCCGGGCGAGCUUUCUAGUGAGAGUGGGUCGGAUGAUGGUGUUGAAUUAGAGUCAUUGGUGAAACGCCAUGAGGUUGUGAUGGGGAAAGAGUUUGAUUAUGGUGUUGAAUCGGAAUCAGUGUUGAAACGCCAUGGGGUUGCCACGGGCAAAGAAAACGAGAGUCAGGCACCAUUAGAGAGGAAAAGAAAAUUUUCGCCUAUAGUAUGGGAUCAAGAGGAGAGCAAAGUGAAUAAUUUAUCCAAUCUGAAGGUUGUCACAACAGUGGCCGCUCUUCCUCCACCACCUCCAUUACCAAUAGCAUUUCGUGAGUCGCCUAAUGUUAAUUACAAUGGAGUUGAAGUUCAUUAUCUUGAGAAUCCCGAGUUGCCGACAGCAAUGGAUCCUUCUAUGGUGUCUGAGUCAGUUCUAGAUGCCGAGUCUCCUAUAGGUUUGCAUUCAAUGUUGUCAGAGCAGGGGUUGGUUAAUGGGCAGGUAGCUGAGCAACCAAAAGUUGAAGAUUAUGUGCCUACUCGUAAUAUAUCAUCUUCAAGAUGGGCAUCCGGAGACGACUCUCCUAAUGAUGAAGGUGAAAUCAUUGAUGAGAAGGAAUUCCUUAAAAGGAGGAGGUUAUCUCCUGAAUCAGGUACGAGAGUAAGAAACAAGAUGUUGAGACCCGAUGAUAAAAUCAAAGGUUUUGAUAGGGCUAGAGCCAAAUCAUCUGAAUCGGAAGAAAGAGAUAGCACUGGGAGAUACUCCGGUGAAGAUGAUCAUUCUGGUAUGGAGGGAGAGAGGAAUAACAACAUGGAGAUUGAUGGUGGAAUUUGCAAAAGUGACACAAGUGGCAGUCACUCAAAUACUGAUUCUGAAAGUGAAGAUGAUUGCAGGGAAAGUAUGGAACCUCCGACUCCACCACACAGAGUUGUUAACAUGCUUCAUGGUUGUAGAAGUGUUGAUGAGUUUGAGAGACUGAACAAGAUUAAUGAAGGAACAUAUGGUGUUGUAUACAGGGCCAAAGACAAGAAGACUGGCGAAAUAGUGGCACUGAAAAAGGUGAAGAUGGAGAAGGAAAAAGAAGGGUUUCCACUGACUUCUCUGAGGGAAAUCAACAUACUUCUUUCCUUUCACCAUCCAUUCAUAGUUGACGUUAAGGAAGUAGUGGUAGGUAGUAGCCUUGAUAGUAUUUUUAUGGUUAUGGAAUACAUGGAACACGAUCUUAAAGGACUAAUGGAGGCAAUAAAACAGCCAUUUAGCCAGAGUGAAGUAAAAUGCUUAAUGCUCCAGCUGUUAGAAGGUGUGAAGUAUCUGCAUGACAACUGGGUGAUUCAUAGGGAUUUGAAGACUUCAAACCUGCUUCUGAAUAAUAGGGGUGAGUUAAAAAUCUGCGAUUUCGGAUUAGCUCGUCAGUAUGGGAGUCCAUUGAAACCGUAUACAUCAUUGGUAGUUACUCUUUGGUACAGGGCUCCUGAACUUCUUUUGGGGACAAAGGAGUAUUCAACAGCCAUUGACAUGUGGUCCCUGGGUUGUAUAAUGGCUGAACUUCUGUCCAAGGAACCGUUAUUUAAUGGGAGGAAUGAAUUUGAUCAACUUAACAAGAUUUUCAGAAUUCUCGGCACCCCAAAUGAAACAAUUUGGCCCGGCUUCUCAAAAUUACCUCUAGUCAAGGUCAAUUAUGUCAAGCAGCAGUAUAAUCUCCUGCGUAAAAAGUUUCCUGCAACAUCUUUCACCGGAUCCCCCGUUCUUUCUGAUUCUGGAUUUGAUUUGUUGAGCAAGCUUCUCACUUAUGACCCUGAAAAGAGGAUCACUGCUGAAGAUGCUCUCAACCAUGCGUGGUUUCGUGAAGUUCCCCUUCCUAAAUCUAAAGAAUUCAUGCCUACAUUUCCUGCUCAACAUGAUAAAGAAAGGAGAAUGCAAAGAAUAAUGAAGAGUCCACAUCCGUUAGAGAGGAAGCACCACAAGGAGUUGCAGCAGAGGGAAUCAGGAACUGAUUUAUUUCAGGUUAACCUUCAUUGUUGAUCGCCGUAUAGAAAUGUCCACGGGACACAGCUGGCAGCAUAAGAGCAAGUUCGUGUGAAGUGGAAGAGUGCAUUCUGUCCAUUUUGUUGAAGAAAAUGACACUGAUUUUUCACAUCAAAGUAUCAAAGCUAGCAGGUUGAGGAUGUUACCUGUAUACCCUGGGAAUAUAUGGAACUUUGUUCCAUCAGGCUCUCUAGAGGUACCAUCCAAACCUUAGUUUGUCAUAAUACAUCUCUGCAGUUCUAACAACUACCCGAUAUUCUAAGAUCUGAACCAUUUAUUUAUCUCCGUUGUGCUUCUUCUAGUGAUUCAUUGUAUAGUUUAUUCUUAUUUCUUGGAAUGAUGUUUUAGUGAUGUUUGGUGGAUUACAACAUUUCAGUUUUAUUGUUUCUUUAUAACUUUAAAUGGCUUGUUAAAUUGAAAGUCAAUUAAAUGAUUCAGUUGUAACUCAUGGAAGAACUCUCCUCUUCACUAAAAUGGAUUGCCCAGGAUAAUGGUUGUCAAGUUUUGACUGGGCAAGUAGAAAAAUUUGACCUCGGUCUGGAUUUAAUUAACCAUUGAAACUUUUUUUUUUUUUUCCCCUUCUUCUGGCUCCAACUACUGUAACCCAGUUUUUGGGGUUAGGCACCGACAAACGUGCAUCAUCACGUUGUAACUACAACUUAGGUGAGUAGUUUAGCCAGAUAUUGAAAAUUUCAUCAUGGCAAAUAAAGUUCAAAAGUGCUUAUUACUUAUUAGUCUAAAAUGUUGUAAACAUCGUUUUUGGUUAGUUUUGGAAUAUGGAGUCUUGAACUGGAUCUUAUUUUAUUAAAUCAUAAAAAAUUAAUGGUAGUCAAAUUAAGUGGAAUUAUUUGGAUGACAAUAGUGAGAUUAAUGGUAGGCAAAUUAAGUGGAAUUAUUUGGAUGACAGUAGUGAGAAGCUGUUAAGAGUUUGUCCUUGAAGGAUCAGACCUUUUGAAAAUUAUUAAAUGGUUACUGUAUUAUUUUUCUUAUUUUUACCACUUCAUGUUGCUGAUUGGAGGGGCAGGCAUCUACAGCAGCUCCAGUGCAUUAUUUUUCUGAUGGUAGGCUUUUAGACAUUUUAUUUGGGGCACAAUAGAUCUUAUGUUUGGCAUUUUUUUCCGGUACAAUAUGUUUGUGAUUGGAUCAUAUGGUAGAAUGAUAUUUGUUUCUAUUUAUCUGUUUUCCAUCUUGCUAUGAUGGACAUGGUUCUCGUCAACUUAAAAUUGGGAUCAAGUUGAUGCUUGCUAGCUUUAUGAUUGAAGAAUUUUGACAACUUCCGUGGGAUUGCUAAUAACUGUAUGUUUGUAUGGCCGGGAGAUGGGCUUGGCUUGCAAUGAGGUUUAAAGCAUCGAGCAAUUCAUAAAAUUUAUACA
Molecule: RNA transcript, 4101 nt
Organism: Medicago truncatula (barrel medic)
Lineage: Eukaryota; Viridiplantae; Streptophyta; Magnoliopsida; Fabales; Fabaceae
Gene name: cyclin-dependent kinase G-2
Exons: 9
Source: RefSeq, a predicted model, not a curated record